AAUAAAAAGUCUAAAAAAGUUCUAAAUAUAACGAUAUUUAAAACCUUGAACUAUCCGAACUGCUCUUAGUACUCUGAUGAAGGUUGCAGUUAGCAACCGAAAAUUUAGAACUUUUUUAGACAUUUUUAUUGUACAUAUUCUAGUAUUUUAAAAAGAAUUUUAGACCAGCUUCAACUCUAAAACUAUCAUGUAUUCCACUGGUCGCCCCAACAGCAUAUCUCUGUGAAGGUCGCGGGUUCGAUUGGCCAAGUAGAAUUUUCUACUUGCCCCGCGUCGACAAUAGACCCAUUGCACAUGACGUCACAACGCCAGUGAUGCAUGAUGCAUCUGGAGGACAAAUCAGCAAUCUGUGCAUGAUAUAACUUUUGUAAACAAACCAAACUUUAUAAAAGUUUAUAAUAAUUUUGUAUUAAAAGGUUAAUUUUUGCGUGAAUGUGGUUGUUGUACCCGAACAGAUAGGUAGCAUCUGGAGGGCACUCUAAGGAUUUGUGACGUUAGUGCAAUGGGUCUAUUCUGUCAAAUCACGAUUAUUGCAGUAUUGUUUGGUCGAAAAGUCAUACGACUAUUACUAUUAGUGUUACCGGCUGCAGCCUAUGAUCAAUCAG
Molecule: non-coding RNA, 605 nt
Organism: Paramuricea clavata
Lineage: Eukaryota; Metazoa; Cnidaria; Anthozoa; Malacalcyonacea; Plexauridae
Source: the annotation of a GenBank genome assembly